Molecule: non-coding RNA, 75 nt
Organism: Rhamnusium bicolor
Lineage: Eukaryota; Metazoa; Arthropoda; Insecta; Coleoptera; Cerambycidae
Source: the annotation of a GenBank genome assembly
GGCUUCGUAGUUAAGUGGUAAGAACACUUCCCUCUCAGACUGGAGUCCCGUGUUCGAUCCCCGGUCGAGGAGCUA